ACGGAAGGCAGCAGUGGGGAAUAUUGGGCAAUGGGGGAAACCCUGACCCAGCAACGCCGCGUGAAGGAAGAAGGCCCUCGGGUUGUAAACUUCUUUUACCAGGGACGAAUAAUGACGGUACCUGGAGAAAAAGCAACGGCUAACUACGUGCCAGCAGCCGCGGUAAUACGUAGGUUGCAAGCGUUGUCCGGAUUUACUGGGUGUAAAGGGCGUGUAGGCGGAGCUGCAAGUCAGAUGUGAAAUCCCGGGGCUUAACCCCGGAACUGCAUUUGAAACUGUAGCCCUUGAGUAUCGGAGAGGCAAGCGGAAUUCCUAGUGUAGCGGUGAAAUGCGUAGAUAUUAGGAGGAGCACCAGUGGCGAAGGCGGCUUGCUGGACGACAACUGACGCUGAGGCGCGAAAGCGUGGGGAGCAAACAGGAUUAGAUACCCUGGUA
RNAcentral lists this ribosomal RNA (435 nucleotides) under uncultured Oscillospiraceae bacterium. RNAcentral's name for it is "partial 16S ribosomal RNA". It matches the Rfam family "Bacterial small subunit ribosomal RNA", at positions 341 to 792 of the family's 1533-position model. The record is from RNAcentral. Lineage: Bacteria; Bacillati; Bacillota; Clostridia; Eubacteriales; Oscillospiraceae.